Molecule: ribosomal RNA, 279 nt
Filed under: Turicibacter sanguinis
Lineage: Bacteria; Bacillati; Bacillota; Erysipelotrichia; Erysipelotrichales; Turicibacteraceae
Description: partial 16S ribosomal RNA
Rfam family: Bacterial small subunit ribosomal RNA
Source: RNAcentral
UAUGGUAAUUGGUGCAGCCGCGGUAAUACGUAGGUGGCGAGCGUUAUCCGGAAUUAUUGGGCGUAAAGAGCGCGCAGGUGGUUGAUUAAGUCUGAUGUGAAAGCCCACGGCUUAACCGUGGAGGGUCAUUGGAAACUGGUCGACUUGAGUGCAGAAGAGGGAAGUGGAAUUCCAUGUGUAGCGGUGAAAUGCGUAGAGAUAUGGAGGAACACCAGUGGCGAAGGCGGCUUCCUGGUCUGUAACUGACACUGAGGCGCGAAAGCGUGGGGAGCAAACAGG